This 254-nucleotide ribosomal RNA is filed under the name uncultured bacterium. Its description in RNAcentral is "partial 16S ribosomal RNA". It matches the Rfam family "Bacterial small subunit ribosomal RNA", at positions 524 to 776 of the family's 1533-position model. The record is from RNAcentral.
UACGUAGGGGGCGAGCGUUGUCCGGAUUCAUUGGGCGUAAAGAGCUCGUAGGCGGCUUGUCAAGUCGGGUGUGAAACCUCCAGGCUCAACCUGGAGACGCCACUCGAGACUGUCAUGGCUAGAGUCCGGUAGGGGAGACUGGAAUUCCUGGUGUAGCGGUGAAAUGCGCAGAUAUCAGGAGGAACACCGGUGGCGAAGGCGGGUCUCUGGGCCGUAACUGACGCUGAGGAGCGAAAGCAUGGGGAGCGAACAGG